This 253-nucleotide ribosomal RNA is filed under the name uncultured bacterium. RNAcentral describes it as "partial 16S ribosomal RNA". It matches the Rfam family "Bacterial small subunit ribosomal RNA", at positions 524 to 776 of the family's 1533-position model. The record is from RNAcentral.
UACGUAGGGUGCAAGCGUUAAUCGGAAUUACUGGGCGUAAAGCGUGCGCAGGCGGUUAUGUAAGACAGUUGUGAAAUCCCCGGGCUCAACCUGGGAACUGCAUCUGUGACUGCAUAGCUAGAGUACGGUAGAGGGGGAUGGAAUUCCGCGUGUAGCAGUGAAAUGCGUAGAUAUGCGGAGGAACACCGAUGGCGAAGGCAGCCCCCUGGGAUGUGACUGACGCCCAUGUACGAAAGCGUGGGGAGCAAACAGG